UCACAUGAUGCGGUAAUUUGCGAUUGACCCAGUAUCUGUGAAACUCUCGCCGGAGUCUUCAAUACAGUACUGUCGCAUGAUAUUCAACUUCUUACAUAUUCUGAUA
RNAcentral lists this small nucleolar RNA (106 nucleotides) under Aspergillus rambellii. RNAcentral's name for it is "A. fumigatus snoRNA Afu_514". It matches the Rfam family "A. fumigatus snoRNA Afu_514". Lineage: Eukaryota; Fungi; Ascomycota; Eurotiomycetes; Eurotiales; Aspergillaceae. The record is from Rfam by way of RNAcentral.